AAUAAUUAUCUUGUUGAUUAAUUUAUCGAUUUAUUAUCUGAUUUUUUCUCCAUCACUUUUCCACCCCAUCCCCCACCGCAACAAUUUAAACCUUUCCUCAUUUGAUCUGUUUAUGUGUGUGUGUAAGAUUCGUGUUUUUUUCUUUGUGUGUGUGUGUGUGUGUGCAAGCAAAACAAUCCGAGUGAAAUUCUACACAUUCGAAUCUAUUUUAUAUUUUUUUUUCAAACCAUUGAAAUACUCAUCAUCAAUAUAUAUUUAUUGAUUGGCAACAAAAAAAAACUUGUGAAUUGCACAGCAACAAAUAUUAUAAAUAAUAAAUUUAAAUUGUAGUUGAA
Dermatophagoides farinae (American house dust mite) is the source of this 335-nucleotide non-coding RNA. The record is from RefSeq and is a predicted model, not a curated record. Lineage: Eukaryota; Metazoa; Arthropoda; Arachnida; Sarcoptiformes; Pyroglyphidae.